This 1037-nucleotide long non-coding RNA is filed under the name Glycine max (soybean). RNAcentral's name for it is "uncharacterized LOC100783396 (LOC100783396)". The record is from RNAcentral. Lineage: Eukaryota; Viridiplantae; Streptophyta; Magnoliopsida; Fabales; Fabaceae.
UAAAUAAUGUGUAAACAUUAUAGAAAAAUACAUUUGUAAGAUAGACCCCAUAAUCGCUUCAGAAAUGUGAGCAGAAACAAAAUAAUUUACAAUUCAUUCACAUGUGGGCAGAAAGAAUAGCUUUGUUGUUCCAGCAAGAAGAAGACAAUGUGAUCAGGUUACUUCCACAUGACCCAUCUCUCAUCUCUGAACACCAACAAUAAUAUCAAAGCCCCCAAAUAAUUUACUCCUCUCCAACUUACAUCAUUGUGAUUUCAAAUCAUCUUUUUUUUUUUUAAAAAAAAAAGGAAGCAGCCAUGUGAAAUUAUUUAUAAAUAAACAGUUGAAAAAAAAAAGGAGAAUCAAUCACAUGGAGUGUGAAGAGGAGGAGAAGGAGGAAGAAGCUGUUGUUGUCUUGAGCUAAAUCUGGAGACACUUCACUCUCUCUCCUUGAUCGCUUGCACGUCAACCUUAAUCAUUUCCAAGCUCCCUUUCAGCGAUCGAACCACCACCAAAAUGUUAUCCAACUGAGCCAACUCGUUCAUGUCAAGGCAGGGGCAUAAUUGAGCUACAAUUGAAACGCGUUCAUGUCCUCCAUGGCAUUGGACGCGAGAUCCGUGAUGUCCGAGAGCGAUGUGUGCAAAUGCUUCUUCACGAAUUGGGGAUCCACCACUAGGGAUUUCCACCGCUUGCACACGCACCUCAAUUGCAGCGGAUUGCUGACCCUAAUCCAAACAAGGAUCUCGAUCAUCAGACCCUCCGGCAGGCCGCCGUCACCGCCGUCAUGCGCCGGCGCUUCCUCGUCAUCAUCACCAUGGUAAUGAUGAUGCAGGUUUCGAUUCUGGCUUCCUCGUUCCUGGAUCUUGCUCGGUUUUUUCGUUUCGCUAUUACAUCGUGUGCGUCGUUCAGGUGUUUUGUUUCGAUCCGGGUCGGAGCUGUAGCACUCUCAAUUUAGGGCUCCGAUUUUGAUGCUUUGGGAAUUCAAAUCGUCUUGCUCAGUUACCAAAUAGUAUGCUACUACUGAUAAUUAAAAUCAUUAAAAUCAUCCGAUUAAGUUG